This 307-nucleotide ribosomal RNA is filed under the name Streptomyces sp. SID7982. RNAcentral's name for it is "partial 23S ribosomal RNA". It matches the Rfam family "Bacterial large subunit ribosomal RNA", at positions 2625 to 2925 of the family's 2925-position model. The record is from RNAcentral. Lineage: Bacteria; Bacillati; Actinomycetota; Actinomycetes; Kitasatosporales; Streptomycetaceae.
GACAGUUCGGUCCCUAUCCGCUGUGCGCGUAGGAAUAUUGAGAAGGGCUGUCCCUAGUACGAGAGGACCGGGACGGACGAACCUCUGGUGUGCCAGUUGUUCUGCCAAGGGCAUGGCUGGUUGGCUACGUUCGGGAGGGAUAACCGCUGAAAGCAUCUAAGCGGGAAGCCUGCUUCGAGAUGAGUGUUCCCACCUCCUUGAGAGGGUAAGGCUCCCAGUAGACGACUGGGUUGAUAGGCCGGAUAUGGAAGCCCUGUAAGGGGUGGAGUUGACCGGUACUAAUAGGCCGAGGGCUUGUCCUCAGUUG